RNAcentral lists this ribosomal RNA (102 nucleotides) under uncultured bacterium. RNAcentral's name for it is "partial 16S ribosomal RNA". It matches the Rfam family "Bacterial small subunit ribosomal RNA", at positions 392 to 508 of the family's 1533-position model. The record is from RNAcentral.
CAACGCCGCGUGGAUGAUGAAGGCCCUUGGGUUGUAAAAUCCUUUCGGCAGGGACGAAUAAAUUGACGGUACCUGAAGAAGAAGCCCCGGCUAACUCCGUGC